UGCUCCUCUCUCUCUCUCUCUCUGGCGAUUCCAGAUCUAAAUCUAGGGUUUGUCUCCAAGGCGAUUUAAGAUCUAGCCUUUCUCAUUGACACUAGAUCGAGGAUCUUCAAGGUGGGUUUAUGGCAUCUUCAAGGUGAGUUUUGCCAUCACCAAUCUCCAAAGAAUCAAGCAAUCUGACCCAGGGUUCCAACUAAUGACGAAGGUCGACAAAUUAGAGUUUUGACUACCGAUCUACUUCUACAUGUAUGCUCUGCAGACUAUCAAGGGUUUUGAGGUUACAUGAUUAACAGAGGUGAAGAUGGAGUCACGAGUUAACAGAGGUGAAGAUGGAGUCGCAGGGGUUCUUCUACAUCACAGGACUUUCACACCUUUUGUUGGGCAUAAUUAGCCUUAUGGUCGAGUUUACUAUGAAGGAUUUUAAGAUUCCACGGAACCUGCAUUAAAGUUAGACUUCAUGCGACUUUUGAGCUGUUUGGUCCAUUCAACCAGUUUGAUUGGUUUACUCUUACCCAAAUUCAAAAUCAAGAUAGAACAUAACCCAAACUGACCCACUUGUAAAUAACAAUGGCAACCGGACUGGAAUCAAAACUUCGUUAUGCAUCAGUUCAUAUUCUGUCUGAUACCAUGGAAGCUGCAAGAAAACCGUCUGUUGCUGCUAUUGUUGGGGUUGCUUUAGGUGGCGGAUUAGAGGCUGCAAUGGUACUGCCGUUGUUAAGAGAGAAGCAUGACGAGUUCAUGUUGAGGGAGCUUGUGAAACGAUGGUCAAAUCAUAAAAUAAUGGUUAGGUGGCUUUAACGUUUUUUCCAUUAUCUUGAUCGCUAUUUUAUUAAUCGAAGGUCCCUACCUGCAUGAAGUUGGUCUAACCUGUUUUCGUGAAUGGGUUAGUAUUUACUUCAGUUACUUAAGCACACAGUUCUUUACAGGUGUUGGUUUUUUUUUUUUGUUGCUGAUGAUUUUUCAUAUAAGUUUAUGAGGAGACAAAACAUCAGAAGCUCACGUUUUCCAGGUAAGUUUUUUAGAACAAAGAUGUGAACGCUUGUCUUAAUGUUAAGUAUGUUGCCAAUGUUGUUUCAUGUACAGGAUGCACUUGGCACAUCGUUGGAAGUAAUAUGCAAAGUAGUCCCUGGUGGAUGCUUAGACCCGAAUGAGAGUAUUGUUACUAUUUUCAUGUGAUUUUGGUCUAUCAUUAUGACAUGUCAGAGAAGGGUUGAUGUCUUAUAAGCAAUUUAUUCAGGAGCUUGAAGAUGAUGUUCUGCCAUCAGAAGCUGAACAAAGGUAUCAAGAAUACAAGUCAGAGUAUAUAUCAACUCAGAAAUGGGCUUAUUUUGAUGCUCAUAAAGGCGAAGACUGGUUGAAAGAUAAAUAUCACCCUACAAAUCUGCUCGUGGUUAUUGAAAGGUACCAUGUCUCUCUUUUUGCCACUUGGAAACAAAGGGGAAUGCAUUUCUCAGUUGCUUCUGGUUCUUAGCAAAAUGAAUUUGGUUUUCAGUUAUGUGCCUGAAUUUUAUUUAGAAACUCUGGUUGAUUGUUUUCAUGUUUUGCGAAAGAGUGAUCCUCCUUUUGUUUAUAAAACAAGGACUUGGUUCAUUUGUACGUUCCACUUUUUCAAUGUUUGUAAGUUUAUAACUACGGAUAUAAACUAUUUACGUAUAAACUAAUGUUUUCGAUGUUUUUAUUCAGGUUACUUUUGUGGUUACCCAUUUCAGCGACCCGAGAAUAUCAAGCACAGAACUAAGAGAUCUACUUCUGCAAUCAAUUUCUGUAUUAGUUCAGUACAAAGAGUUUUUGGCUGCUUUUGAGAGCAACCGAGCAGCAACUCGUAGCCUCCCAACAUCACUUUUAUCAGUCUUUGAUAACCGAUCAUGGAUUCCUGUAACGAUUUGAGUUGUGGCUGCAAGUUUUGUAUCGGGUUACAAGUUGUCGGAUUCGGCUCAAGAAGGUGGCGACCCAUGUUUGCCGGUUGCAUGGUCAUGGUUGGAGUGUAAUUCAGAUCGUGAACCGAAGAUUAUAUCGGUGUAUGUUUCUUGACUUUAUUUAUCUUGAUGUUAACUCCAAUGUAGAAAAUAAAAAGCAAGACCGGUGUGAUUUACACGAACGCGAAAACGUUGUUAUAUUUCUCCAUCGCAAUGAUUGCUCGCAAGGUUGGCCCUGCUCUUGCCUGUGGCUGUACUGUGGUCAUAAAGCCCUCUGAGCUCACACCAUUGACCGCCUUAGCAGCAGCUGAGCUGGCCCUUCAAUCUGGAAUUCCGCCUGGUGUCUUGAAUGUGGUCAUGGGAUAUCCUCCUAGCAUUGGUGAUUCUCUACUAUAGAGCACACAGGUUUGUUUUUAUUAGAUAGUUUACAUUAGUUACGGUUUAUUGUAAUUCGUUUUAAAGAUAUUUUAACAAAUGAAACAAUCAUCUGUUUGUUUAUCUCCACAAGCGAUGCUAUUUUUUAUGUCUAACAACAAUGGCAAU
Molecule: long non-coding RNA, 2456 nt
Filed under: Helianthus annuus (common sunflower)
Lineage: Eukaryota; Viridiplantae; Streptophyta; Magnoliopsida; Asterales; Asteraceae
Source: RNAcentral